This is a long non-coding RNA of Alosa alosa (allis shad), 1310 nucleotides long. RefSeq lists it as uncharacterized. Lineage: Eukaryota; Metazoa; Chordata; Actinopteri; Clupeiformes; Clupeidae. The transcript is spliced from 2 exons. The record is from RefSeq and is a predicted model, not a curated record.
AUUCAUUGAUUUAGUGGAAACUGAAACGGAUAAAUGCCAUGGUACUUUUAAAGUAUGUCACAAGGUGCAACACAUUGUAUUUCCUUGUCUUCACAGUGAAGUUUGCAAUGUUUGAAGAAAUUACCAGAAAGCAGUUGAUGAAAUAUUCCUGCCAUCCAAAAUGUACUCAGAAUUCUGCAUACAGACACCUCCGCUUGUCUGAAGAUUGCACCAAAGUUGAGUGGAGUAACCAGACAAUCAACUACCCUAAUGGAUUCACAGAUUGCCAACAGGUGUUGUGUUUAGAACAUCUAUCCAAGUGUGCAUAUUGGGAGGUUCAGUGGAAAACUUCAAAUCUCAGAGAUGGCAUUUCUAUUGCAGUUGCAAACUAUGACCUAGCACGUAAAGGUAAUAACUGCAGGUUUGGGCUUAAUAACGAAUCCUGGUGCUUGGACUUUUUCACACAAUAAUGUGAAGACUGAAAUUCCAGGCCCAGUCUCCCCCAGAAUAGGUGUGUAUCUGAAUCACCAGGCAGGAAUUUUGUCUUUCUACAGGAUCUUUCGUGGUGAUUUCUGAUCUGAUGGCGGGUAUUAUUUACAGAGUUCAGGCCAAAUUUACCAAGCCUUUAUGCCCAGGAUUUUACCCAUCAUCAGAUAGCUGUAUUAAACUGUUCUAAAGGGUUUACUGGCUAAAGACAGUAAGAGUACACCCCAAAUAAAACAUUGCUGUAGUUGAUGGCAUGCAGUGCACACAAUGGUUCAGUAUAGAUAUUUGUGCAGGUAUUUUCAAAGUUUAUGUGGUGUGUAUCAUACAUCAUAAAUACCCUGAUGUUUAGAAUUGUUCAAGAAUUAAAUUCUUUCCUGUUUGUUUGGCGUAGUGACCAAUGAUGUACAAAAGUAGUUGUAAAGCCUUGACUUCUACUAAUAGGUCUGUGUUGAGAUAUGAAUACAUAUGGUGAUCAACUCUGGUUCCGAAGGAUAAUGUUCAUUUUGAAGUAUAUGUAGGCAGAAAAGCAGAGCCCUUUGAAUAGAACAGGCUAUAGGACUGUUAACUAUAGAAACAUCACCUGCUACAAGAUCGAAACAAAGUAGAGUGGUACCUGUGUACUGCCACAGGUCCAUAAACAGUUAUGUUGAGUAGAAAUUAUUUUGAUGUUUUUAUUUCAUAUUAAACAUUUUAUGGUAUUUGGUUUUACCAUACUGUGUGGCAGUAAUUUUCAUUUUUGAUGUUUUGCAGCUUUGCUGACACAGGUGUACUAGAGAAACUGUUUGAAGCUUGGUCUGUGUAUUAAUGUUUAUAUUGUUCUCAAAAAUAAAAUUACUGCAAAAUCA